RNAcentral lists this ribosomal RNA (593 nucleotides) under Strophariaceae sp. ICE2-C3. Its description in RNAcentral is "eukaryotic LSU rRNA". The stretch from base 187 to 340 matches the Rfam family "5.8S ribosomal RNA". Lineage: Eukaryota; Fungi; Basidiomycota; Agaricomycetes; Agaricales; Strophariaceae. The record is from RNAcentral.
CCCGUCAUCUUUAUCUCUCCACCUGUGCACUUUUUGUAGACCUGGAUGACUUUCCGAGGAAACUCGGUCGGGAGGACUGCUGUGCGUCAAAGCCGGCUGUCCUUGCAUUUCCAGGUCUAUGUUUUCAUAUACCCCAUAGUAUGUAACAGAAUGUAUCAAUGGGCCUUGUGCCUAUAAACUUUAUACAACUUUCAGCAACGGAUCUCUUGGCUCUCGCAUCGAUGAAGAACGCAGCGAAAUGCGAUAAGUAAUGUGAAUUGCAGAAUUCAGUGAAUCAUCGAAUCUUUGAACGCACCUUGCGCUCCUUGGUAUUCCGAGGAGCAUGCCUGUUUGAGUGUCAUUAAAUUCUCAACCUUACCAGCUUUUGCUGAUAAUGGCUUGGAUGUGGGGGUCUUUUUUGCCGGCUUCUAACGAGGUCAGCUCCCCUUAAAUGCAUUAGCCGGUGCCCUGCGUGGAACUGUCUAUUGGUGUGAUAAUUAUCUACGCCGUGGACGUCUGCUUUAAAUGGGUGCAUUGCUUCUAACUGUCUUCGGACAAACACAAUGACAAUUUGACCUCAAAUCAGGUAGGACUACCCGCUGAACUUAAGCAUA